This is a small nucleolar RNA of Lotus japonicus, 107 nucleotides long. The record is from RefSeq and is a predicted model, not a curated record. Lineage: Eukaryota; Viridiplantae; Streptophyta; Magnoliopsida; Fabales; Fabaceae.
AGGUUGUGUUGUGGACACUUCCUCAAUAGCUUCUUGAAGCGCUCCCAAGCCUCAUAAAGAUUCUCAUCAGCUGCUUGGGCAAAUGUCAUUAUGCCAUUCUUCAACUU